RNAcentral lists this ribosomal RNA (587 nucleotides) under uncultured bacterium. RNAcentral describes it as "bacterial SSU rRNA". It matches the Rfam family "Bacterial small subunit ribosomal RNA", at positions 337 to 916 of the family's 1533-position model. The record is from RNAcentral.
UCCUACGGGAGGCAGCAGUGGGGAAUAUUGCACAAUGGGGAAAACCCUGAUGCAGCCAUGCCGCGUGUGUGAAGAAGGCCUUCGGGUUGUAAAGCACUUUCAGUUGUGAGGAAAAGUUAGUAGUUAAUACCUGCUAGCCGUGACGUUAACAACAGAAGAAGCACCGGCUAACUCCGUGCCAGCAGCCGCGGUAAUACGGAGGGUGCGAGCGUUAAUCGGAAUUACUGGGCGUAAAGCGCACGCAGGCGGUUUGUUAAGCUAGAUGUGAAAGCCCCGGGCUCAACCUGGGAUGGUCAUUUAGAACUGGCAGACUAGAGUCUUGGAGAGGGGAGUGGAAUUCCAGGUGUAGCGGUGAAAUGCGUAGAUAUCUGGAGGAACAUCAGUGGCGAAGGCGACUCCCUGGCCAAAGACUGACGCUCAUGUGCGAAAGUGUGGGUAGCGAACAGGAUUAGAUACCCUGGUAGUCCACACCGUAAACGCUGUCUACUAGCUGUGUGUGUCUUUAAGACGUGCGUAGCGAAGCUAACGCGCUAAGUAGACCGCCUGGGGAGUACGGCCGCAAGGUUAAAACUCAAAUGAAUUGACGG